Molecule: ribosomal RNA, 1366 nt
Filed under: uncultured bacterium
Lineage: Bacteria
Description: 16S ribosomal RNA
Rfam family: Bacterial small subunit ribosomal RNA
Source: RNAcentral
GCUAGCUACAGGCUUAACACAUGCAAGUCGAGGGGCAUCAGGAAGAAAGCUUGCUUUCUUUGCUGGCGACCGGCGCACGGGUGAGUAACACGUAUCCAACCUGCCCUUUACUCGGGGAUAGCCUUUCGAAAGAAAGAUUAAUACCCGAUAGCAUAAUGAUUCCGCAUGGUUUCAUUAUUAAAGGAUUCCGGUAAAGGAUGGGGAUGCGUUCCAUUAGGUUGUUGGUGAGGUAACGGCUCACCAAGCCUUCGAUGGAUAGGGGUUCUGAGAGGAAGGUCCCCCACAUUGGAACUGAGACACGGUCCAAACUCCUACGGGAGGCAGCAGUGAGGAAUAUUGGUCAAUGGGCGCGAGCCUGAACCAGCCAAGUAGCGUGAAGGAUGACUGCCCUAUGGGUUGUAAACUUCUUUUAUAUUAGAAUAAAGUGCAGUAUGUAUACUGUUUUGUAUGUAUAAUAUGAAUAAGGAUCGGCUAACUCCGUGCCAGCAGCCGCGGUAAUACGGAGGAUCCGAGCGUUAUCCGGAUUUAUUGGGUUUAAAGGGAGCGUAGGUGGACUGGUAAGUCAGUUGUGAAAGUUUGCGGCUCAACCGUAAAAUUGCAGUUGAUACUGUCAGUCUUGAGUACAGUAGAGGUGGGCGGAAUUCGUGGUGUAGCGGUGAAAUGCUUAGAUAUCACGAAGAACUCCGAUUGCGAAGGCAGCUCACUGGACUGCAACUGACACUGAUGCUCGAAAGUGUGGGUAUCAAACAGGAUUAGAUACCCUGGUAGUCCACACAGUAAACGAUGAAUACUCGCUGUUUGCGAUAUACAGUAAGCGGCCAAGCGAAAGCAUUAAGUAUUCCACCUGGGGAGUACGCCGGCAACGGUGAAACUCAAAGGAAUUGACGGGGGCCCGCACAAGCGGAGGAACAUGUGGUUUAAUUCGAUGAUACGCGAGGAACCUUACCCGGGCUUAAAUUGCAGUGGAAUGAUGUGGAAACAUGUCAGUGAGCAAUCACCGCUGUGAAGGUGCUGCAUGGUUGUCGUCAGCUCGUGCCGUGAGGUGUCGGCUUAAGUGCCAUAACGAGCGCAACCCUUAUCUUUAGUUACUAACAGGUCAUGCUGAGGACUCUAGAGAGACUGCCGUCGUAAGAUGUGAGGAAGGUGGGGAUGACGUCAAAUCAGCACGGCCCUUACGUCCGGGGCUACACACGUGUUACAAUGGGGGGUACAGAAGGCAGCUACCUGGUGACAGGAUGCUAAUCCCAAAAGCCUCUCUCAGUUCGGAUCGAAGUCUGCAACCCGACUUCGUGAAGCUGGAUUCGCUAGUAAUCGCGCAUCAGCCACGGCGCGGUGAAUACGUUCCCGGGCCUUGUACACACCGCCC